Molecule: non-coding RNA, 265 nt
Filed under: Brevibacillus parabrevis
Lineage: Bacteria; Bacillati; Bacillota; Bacilli; Caryophanales; Paenibacillaceae
Description: T-box sequence
Rfam family: T-box leader
About the family: Uncharged tRNA acts as the effector for transcription antitermination of genes in the T-box leader family.
Source: RNAcentral
AGCGAAUCGUUGAUGAGGACAGUACCCUUGGACUUACGGCUGUAGCGAAUCGGGGAUGGUGGAAGCCCGAUGCCCGACCAAGUGCGGAAGCGCCCCUCGGAGAUGCGGCCUGAACAUCUGACGCUAUGAAGUAAGCGGCUGGAUUGUGUAGGGUUUUGCCGGGUCUGCCCGUUACAGCAGCGCAAAGCGGUUUUUGCCUCAACCAAAUCAUGCAGGCAAAAACAACAAGAGUGGCACCGCGGGAGCACAACCUCUCGUCUCUUUU